This 253-nucleotide ribosomal RNA is filed under the name uncultured bacterium. RNAcentral describes it as "partial 16S ribosomal RNA". It matches the Rfam family "Bacterial small subunit ribosomal RNA", at positions 524 to 776 of the family's 1533-position model. The record is from RNAcentral.
UACGUAGGGGCCUAGCGUUGUCCGGAAUCAUUGGGCGUAAAGAGCGUGUAGGCGGCCCGAUAAGUCCGCUGUGAAAGUCCAGGGCUCAACCCUGGGAUGCCGGUGGAUACUGUCGGGCUCGAGUCCGGAAGAGGAGUGUGGAAUUCCUGGUGUAGCGGUGAAAUGCGCAGAUAUCAGGAGGAACACCAAUGGCGAAGGCAGCACUCUGGGACGUGACUGACGCUGAGACGCGAAAGCGUGGGGAGCAAACAGG